AAGUCUUCGGAUGGAAUCGAUAAGUUCUAGCGGCGGACGGGUGAGUAACGCGUGAGCAACCUGCCCUCCACAGGGGGAUAACGCACCGAAAGGUGCACUAAUACCGCAUAAGGCCACGGCACUGACAUGGUGCGGGGGUCAAAGGAGUAAUCCGGUGGAAGAUGGGCUCGCGUCUGAUUAGCUAGUUGGUGAGGUAACGGCCCACCAAGGCGACGAUCAGUAGCCGACCUGAGAGGGUGAUCGGCCACAUUGGAACUGAGAGACGGUCCAAACUCC
RNAcentral lists this ribosomal RNA (276 nucleotides) under uncultured Eubacteriales bacterium. RNAcentral describes it as "uncultured Clostridiales bacterium partial 16S ribosomal RNA". It matches the Rfam family "Bacterial small subunit ribosomal RNA", at positions 59 to 339 of the family's 1533-position model. Lineage: Bacteria; Bacillati; Bacillota; Clostridia; Eubacteriales. The record is from RNAcentral.